CUGCUAAAGCGGAGGAAGGAAUGGGCAACGGUAGGUCAGUAUGCCCCGAAUAUCCCGGGCUACACGCGAGCUACGAAUGGUUGGUACAAUGGGUAUCUACCCCGAAAGGGGACGGGAAUCUCCUAAACCAAUCUUAGUUCGGAUUGAGGGCUGCAACUCGCCCUCAUGAAGCUGGAAUCCGUAGUAAUCGCGUUUCAACAGAACGCGGUGAAUACGUCCCUGCUCCUU
RNAcentral lists this ribosomal RNA (228 nucleotides) under uncultured Methanosaeta sp. Its description in RNAcentral is "partial 16S ribosomal RNA". It matches the Rfam family "Archaeal small subunit ribosomal RNA", at positions 1111 to 1338 of the family's 1478-position model. The record is from RNAcentral. Lineage: Archaea; Methanobacteriati; Methanobacteriota; Methanomicrobia; Methanotrichales; Methanotrichaceae.